This 200-nucleotide ribosomal RNA is filed under the name uncultured archaeon. Its description in RNAcentral is "partial 16S ribosomal RNA". It matches the Rfam family "Archaeal small subunit ribosomal RNA", at positions 566 to 765 of the family's 1478-position model. The record is from RNAcentral.
GUGGGCGUCCGGCGAAAACUGUCUGGCUUGGAACCGGAAGGCUCAGAGGGUACGUCUGGGGUACGAGUGAAAUCCUGUAAUCCCAGACGGACCACCGAUGGCGAAAGCACUCUGAGAAGACGGAUUCGACAGUGAGGGACGAAAGCUAGGGUCUCGAACCGGAUUAGAUACCCGGGUAGUCCUAGCUGUAAACGAUGCUC